This 466-nucleotide ribosomal RNA is filed under the name uncultured bacterium. RNAcentral describes it as "bacterial SSU rRNA". It matches the Rfam family "Bacterial small subunit ribosomal RNA", at positions 329 to 793 of the family's 1533-position model. The record is from RNAcentral.
UGCCAGACUCCUACGGGAGGCAGCAGUGAGGAAUAUUGGUCAAUGGGCGCGAGCCUGAACCAGCCAAGUCGCGUGAGGGAAGACGGUCCUAUGGAUUGUAAACCUCUUUUGUCGGGGAGCAAAAGACGCCACGUGUGGCGUUCCGAGAGUACCCGAAGAAAAAGCAUCGGCUAACUCCGUGCCAGCAGCCGCGGUAAUACGGAGGGUGCAAGCGUUGUCCGGAAUCAUUGGGCGUAAAGAGUUCGUAGGCGGCAUGUAAAGUCAGGUGUUAAAGGCGCAGGCUCAACCUGUGUAUGGCACUUGAUACUUGCAAGCUGGAAUGCGGGAGAGGUAAGGGAAUUCCUGGUGUAGCGGUGAAAUGCUUAGAUAUCAGGAGGAACAUCGGUGGCGUAAGCGCUUUACUGGGCCGUAAUUGACGCUGAGGAACGAAAGCCAGGGUAGCAAAUGGGAUUAGAUACCCCUGUAC